RNAcentral lists this ribosomal RNA (467 nucleotides) under uncultured bacterium. Its description in RNAcentral is "partial 16S ribosomal RNA". It matches the Rfam family "Bacterial small subunit ribosomal RNA", at positions 28 to 506 of the family's 1533-position model. The record is from RNAcentral.
GACGAACGCUGGCGGCGUGCUUAACACAUGCAAGUCGAACGGAAAGGCCCUGCUUUUGUGGGGUGCUCGAGUGGCGAACGGGUGAGUAACACGUGAGUAACCUGCCCUUGACUUUGGGAUAACUUCAGGAAGCUGGGGCUAAUACCGGAUAGGAGCUCCUGCUGCAUGGUGGGGGUUGGAAAGUUUCGGCGGUUGGGGAUGGACUCGCGGCUUAUCAGCUUGUUGGUGGGGUAGUGGCUUACCAAGGCUUUGACGGGUAGCCGGCCUGAGAGGGUGACCGGCCACAUUGGGACUGAGAGACGGCCCAGACUCCUACGGGAGGCAGCAGUGGGGAAUAUUGCACAAUGGGCGGAAGCCUGAUGCAGCAACGCCGCGUGCGGGAUGACGGCCUUCGGGUUGUAAACCGCUUUCGCCUGUGACGAAGCGUGAGUGACGGUAAUGGGUAAAGAAGCACCGGCGAACUACGU